CUGUCUCUACCGCUGAAGCUAGAUCUCUCUCUGUAGGUGGUAUAGUGGGCACGGGGGCUGCGUCCUCAACCGAGCGGCUAACGCUAUCGGUUGUUUACUUUGAACCCGACAACCCAAGGCCCAGGCUAGAAGACAUCCUACACAACACAAAGUAUCAGUGAUGGAAGACAACUAACUACUCAAGCUAGAAUUGGUACUCAAUCAUAUUGAAUUAACUUACCUCACGGAUCAUUG
This 234-nucleotide long non-coding RNA is filed under the name Setaria italica (foxtail millet). RNAcentral describes it as "long non-coding RNA (SITA_LNC002467)". The record is from RNAcentral. Lineage: Eukaryota; Viridiplantae; Streptophyta; Magnoliopsida; Poales; Poaceae.